This 253-nucleotide ribosomal RNA is filed under the name uncultured bacterium. Its description in RNAcentral is "partial 16S ribosomal RNA". It matches the Rfam family "Bacterial small subunit ribosomal RNA", at positions 524 to 776 of the family's 1533-position model. The record is from RNAcentral.
UACGUAGGGGGCAAGCGUUAUCCGGAUUUACUGGGUGUAAAGGGAGCGUCGGCGGUAAUGCAAGUCAGAAGUGAAAGCCCGGGGCUCAACUCCGGGACUGCUUUUGAAACUGUGUUGCUAGAUUGCAGGAGAGGUAAGUGGAAUUCCUAGUGUAGCGGUGAAAUGCGUAGAUAUUAGGAGGAACACCAGUGGCGAAGGCGGCUUACUGGACUGUAAAUGACGCUGAGGCUCGAAAGCGUGGGGAGCAAACAGG